This 171-nucleotide small RNA is filed under the name Chelonoidis abingdonii (Abingdon island giant tortoise). RNAcentral's name for it is "TUC338 (ENSCABG00000011587.1)". The record is from RNAcentral. Lineage: Eukaryota; Metazoa; Chordata; Testudines; Testudinidae.
CAGACACCAUGGUGAGGGGUGCCUUGUCAGUGAAGAGAUGGAAAGGGCAGCAGCAGUGCAAGCUUCCCCAUGCUUCCCCCUCCAGUGAGCCGCAACACUGGCCUACAGGGACCACCCCUAAGUGGUUGACAGGUGCCCUCUUCUUCACGGCCCCCUCAAUCAUCUGCUCUC